CGCCAAAGGUUGGCCCCCCUUGGUCCCAUGACACAUCCCUUGGUCCCUUAUUUAAAUGGGACAUCCAACAUGGCUUUACUAUUGAGCUUUUGGGUUGAAACUAGAGAGAAGGGAUGUGGAAAUCAUAAAAAAAAAUUUGAAAAAUAUCUGAGAAAAAGGCAAGGGGAAAUUGAGUGGUAAAAGUUGUAAGAAGGAUGGUGAGAUUUUUAACAAGUGUUGCUAGUGUACCCUAGGAUUUAUUUUUUCCAUAUGUUGGAGCCAAAAAUCAAAUCUUAGGUUGUAAGAAAUCUAAAGAGUAUCUUCUUGGUGUCAUUCUGGUGGCA
RNAcentral lists this long non-coding RNA (323 nucleotides) under Elaeis guineensis (African oil palm). RNAcentral's name for it is "long non-coding RNA (EGUI_LNC057186)". Lineage: Eukaryota; Viridiplantae; Streptophyta; Magnoliopsida; Arecales; Arecaceae. The record is from RNAcentral.